This 492-nucleotide ribosomal RNA is filed under the name uncultured bacterium. RNAcentral describes it as "partial 16S ribosomal RNA". It matches the Rfam family "Bacterial small subunit ribosomal RNA", at positions 29 to 507 of the family's 1533-position model. The record is from RNAcentral.
AGUGAACGCUGGCGGUAGGCCUAACACAUGCAAGUCGAACGGCAGCACAGUAAGAGCUUGCUCUUACGGGUGGCGAGUGGCGGACGGGUGAGGAAUACAUCGGAAUCUACUUUUUCGUGGGGGAUAACGUAGGGAAACUUACGCUAAUACCGCAUACGACCUACGGUUGAAAGCAGGGGAUCUUCGGACCUUGCGCGAUUGAAUGAGCCGAUGUCGGAUUAGCUAGUUGGCGGGGUAAAGGCCCACCAAGGCGACGAUCCGUAGCUGGUCUGAGAGGAUGAUAAGCCACACUGGAACUGAGACACGGUCCAGACUACUACGGGAGGCAGCAGUGGGGAAUAUUGGACAAUGGGCGCAAGCAUGAUCCAGCCAUACCGCGUGGGUGAAGAAGGCCUUCGGGUUGUAAAGCCCUUUUGUUGGGAAAGAAAAGCAGCAGGUUAAUACCCAGCUGUUCUGACGGUACCCAAAGAAUAAGCACCGGCUAACUUCGUG